GCCGGUGUGGCGGAACGGCAGACGCGCCUGACUCAAAAUCAGGUGGGCGCAAGCCCGUGGGGGUUCGAUUCCCUCCACCGGCA
RNAcentral lists this transfer RNA (83 nucleotides) under Bacillota bacterium. RNAcentral's name for it is "Firmicutes bacterium (hot springs metagenome) tRNA-Leu". It matches the Rfam family "tRNA". Rfam says of the family: Transfer RNA (tRNA) molecules are approximately 80 nucleotides in length. Lineage: Bacteria; Bacillati; Bacillota. The record is from RNAcentral.